AUGAAUAAAGUCAAAAAUAGCAAAUUAAUCGGCUAAACAAAGUAAUAAUUUUUAGACCACAACAUGGAGAUUACAAAUCGGAACCUCGAAUCGACACCGAAAAACCCGAGACAACCUCCGCUCAAUCAAACAUUCAGACAAUACAUAAUCGGGCACUUCAUAUCCAUAACAAAACCAGAAAUUUGCAACUUUCUAUCCUUUUGAAAUUCGUUUCUAGGCCAUGAAGAACCAAAAUAAUCGAAGAAGUCUGAGUCUCAAUUUGAUUAGCGACAAUUGAACUUCGAAAUUGAAGAAAAGCUGCUGAAUCUCACGUGAAAUCAAAGGAUCAAAAUGUGGGAAUCUAUUACUUUUUUAUUUAAUUGUCGUGGUGUUGCUUUUGGUUUUUGUGUGUUUGUAUAUAUUGAAUAUGGUGUCCAGUUAGCCGGAUUUGUUAGGUGGGGUUCUUUGCUUGCGGCGGCGCUGCCUUUUCUUUUUCUUAUCGCUGAUUGUGUUUUUU
This 496-nucleotide long non-coding RNA is filed under the name Nicotiana benthamiana. RNAcentral's name for it is "long non-coding RNA (NBEN_LNC028074)". Lineage: Eukaryota; Viridiplantae; Streptophyta; Magnoliopsida; Solanales; Solanaceae. The record is from RNAcentral.